UUACUGUGACAAUGUUAUGACGUGUGGCA
This 29-nucleotide small RNA is filed under the name Bombyx mori (domestic silkworm). RNAcentral describes it as "ovarian small RNA-36654". The record is from RNAcentral. Lineage: Eukaryota; Metazoa; Arthropoda; Insecta; Lepidoptera; Bombycidae.